AUCCUGGCUUAGGACGAACGCUGGCGGCGUGCCUAAUACAUGCAAGUCGAACGGUCUUUCUAUGGAAGCUUGCUCCACUGAGAAGAUAGUGGCGAACGGGUGAGUAACACGUGGGUAACCUGCCCAUAAGAGGGGGGAUAACAUCCGGAAACGGGUGCUAAUACCGCAUAGUUUUCUUGAUUGCAUGAUUGAGAAAGGAAAGACGGCCUUUGUGCUGUCGCUUAUGGAUGGACCCGCGGCGUAUUAGUUAGUUGGUGAGGUAACGGCUCACCAAGACGAUGAUACGUAGCCGACCUGAGAGGGUGAUCGGCCACAUUGGGACUGAGACACGGCCCAAACUCCUACGGGAGGCAGCAGUAGGGAAUCUUCCGCAAUGGACGAAAGUCUGACGGAGCAACGCCGCGUGAGUGAAAGAAGGUUUUCGGAUCGUAAAACUCUGUUGUCAGAGAAGAACAAGUUGGAGAGUAACUGCUCCAGCCUUGACGGUAUCUGACCAGAAAGCCACGGCUAACUACGUGCCAGCCGCCGC
Molecule: ribosomal RNA, 529 nt
Filed under: uncultured bacterium
Lineage: Bacteria
Description: bacterial SSU rRNA
Rfam family: Bacterial small subunit ribosomal RNA
Source: RNAcentral